UAAAUGAAAUAGCAGCUUUAAAAGUAUUUCUGUAUCCAGCAGCUCUUUCACGCUGAUUUGAAUUCUAAAUGUGACUCCAUCUGUUUCUGAGGCCGCCAGCACCUCGCAGGCGCCCGGCUCGCAGUAGAUGGCGGCGAGGGCCGACAGCUCCUCCAGCGCCUGCUCCGACAUGGCCGCGCCCGUCCGCAGCCGGCUCCGCCCGCGGUUGCGUCUGGGGGCGGUGGCAGGGCGCGACGUUGCGCUGCCCCUUGGCUCAGGCGGGCGGGGAGGGCCGUGAGAGGGGUACGGCGGUGGGAUGGCGCGGGAUGGGGGCGCCCCGCGAGCCCUGAGGUAGCUGCUGGCCGUGGGCUGCACCAGGAGCAGACAUACCACCCUCAGCUGCCACGCGGAGCCGCCGCCAUUUUGUCCGGCAGCCCCCGCGCUGUGCAUUGGGGUGCGGCCACGGCCCGACGCUGGGUGCAGGGGCGUCCUGCAUUGCCCGGCACUUUGUAAAAAAACGUUCCUAGGUAUAAAGGUCCACGUGACAAUUUCUGGAAUGCCCUACAUAGAGCCAUACCACAUAACAGCACUGGCGAUGAGGGGUUGGUGUAAUGACCACCCCUGCGCCAGAAGCCGGCCCUUCCCUCCCGCCGAGGUACACGCAGGAACAUGGAGCUGCCCUACGCAGCCGUAGCACAGCUUGGAAACACAGCAUGCAGUGGGCGUACCAGAAACACCAUCAGAGCUGUGCUACAGCUUCACACAGCUGAGCAAACCGCACAGGGAGAUGGUGACAUGUACAGGUGUACACAUACAUAGACAUUAGUACAGCAGUGAUGUGGGCAAGGAGCUACCAGGUCAGCCCCAGCUGUUGGCAUCAGUGCACAGAGAGCCUCGGUGGAACUGAUCUCCAUUCUUGCAGUCAGCGAUGGUGCCUGUAUGGUUCUCCUGGUGGUCAUCUGGCUGAGGCCUGCUACAGGCAACAACACCACAUACAGCUAUCUCAUGGGUAUUAUUCGGCACUUUCCACAUUUUAAGGGCCCCCAGCUGGAAACACGAGCACAGGAGGCUGAAAGGUUAGACAGCAGUGGGUGUGUGUCACUGAAGUUUGUUACAAAUCACUUGGAAGCAAGGGAUGGGUGGCUUAUUUAUUCAGCAAAGCAUAUUAUACUAUUUUUAAUGCCUUAAGUUCCGUUGAAAUACCGAGAAAUGCUGGGGUGCUGAGUGGGGAACAAGUGAAGAACAUGCACAGACAUAAGACUGGAGCUGUCAAAAGUGCUGCAAGGCAGCAGUCCGUGCAGCUGUUCAGAAGGCUUUGUGGAAAUUAGCCUUAGAAGUGCCUCAUUCUAUUACUGAGAACUUUCUUGCCCCUGGUCUUUCCCCCUUCUCCUCAUCCACUUUGCAUAUUCCAUUUUACAUGUUUAAAUAAAAAAAAGUUGAUGUAAAUGUCUUCUAAAUUGACACUAUCACAAGACAUUGAGGUCCCUAUGAAUAAGUUACUGCACUCUGACAUUUGGAAGUCAUCAAAUGAGACAGUAUAAUGUCAGCUUGAUAUUUUUCACACUAUGAAAAUAUCACCUUCAUGUCAAAGAUCUAAAUUCCAUCUUAAUGUAAUAAAUUUUCUUGUAUUCACAGACUAGUGAAAAUGCUAAAUAUUUAAAUUUGAAAUGAACUUCUACAGCUACGAUAUGGCCUUCAUAUUCCAUUAUUAUUAAAUUGGAACUCAAGAUCUAUCCUCCC
Molecule: long non-coding RNA, 1719 nt
Filed under: Gallus gallus (chicken)
Lineage: Eukaryota; Metazoa; Chordata; Aves; Galliformes; Phasianidae
Source: RNAcentral